RNAcentral lists this ribosomal RNA (232 nucleotides) under uncultured Glomus. RNAcentral's name for it is "partial 18S ribosomal RNA". The stretch from base 89 to 232 matches the Rfam family "Eukaryotic small subunit ribosomal RNA", at positions 736 to 884 of the family's 1831-position model. The record is from RNAcentral. Lineage: Eukaryota; Fungi; Glomeromycota; Glomeromycetes; Glomerales; Glomeraceae.
GGUCUGCCUUUGCGGUGCCGCCUUUGGGUGGUCUACUGUGUAGGGCAGGCCUUUCUCCUGGCAGCAGGCGUGCUCUUCGCGGGGCGCGUCGGUUGGCAGGAAGGUUACUUUGAACAAAUUAGAGUGUUCAUGGCAGGCUUGCGCUUGAAUACAUUAGCAUGGAAUAACGGAAUAGGACUCUGGUUCUAUUGUGUUGGUUUCGGACCGGAGUAAUGAUUAAUAGGGAUAGUUG